Apis dorsata (giant honeybee) is the source of this 922-nucleotide long non-coding RNA. RefSeq lists it as uncharacterized. NCBI's taxonomy places the organism in Eukaryota, Metazoa, Arthropoda, Insecta, Hymenoptera, Apidae. The record is from RefSeq and is a predicted model, not a curated record. The transcript has 5 exons.
CAGAUUUUCUUCAAAUAAUUUUAUGCAACCAAUCCAAGCGCACAUCUAACUAAGCAAAGGGGUGAAUCCAAUCCUAUUCUCUAACCUUCCUUUGCGAUGACCUUAGCCAACCGCUCAUCAUUCCACCAAGCACGUAUUGCUCGGCUGAUUUGCAUAAGACCGGAAUGCUGAAGAUGAAACCACAUUCCUCGUGCCACUUAAUAGCAAUGAAAGAACGUCUAAUCGUUCUAUUCGGUAGACGUCUCUGAUCAUCUCGACUACUAUUUUGCGAGGCUUGGAAUUGUAUGAAUUUCUUCUCUGAUGGAUGCUAAAGGGUUAAUAGUUGAUGAUUGUUCAACGAAGAAAACGUUCUUUCACGCGAGGUCAGAGAAGAAAAGAGGGCAGUAAAGAUCAAGUGAUCAUCAUCGAUUGUUCCCUACAGCGAAAUUCGAUAUUUAAUAAAUCCGAUCGUAUUCAAGCUUGGAAAUGUUGAACACGCUCGUAUUUAGUUUCACCUCUGUUUCGCAUAAAUUGUCUCGUGUCCACGCGCGGUACGCGCGAUAAAUCCACGAGUGCCGGCUGACACGCGUCUUUCCCUGUGUCGUAAAGCAAUUAAAGUGACGAGGAUGAUGCAGAGACAUGUGAUACGUCUGCGAGCGAUGGUUUUACAAACUUGAAAAUGUCGGAGCCCCAUUAAAUUCGAAGCAGAUGCAUAUAAAAGAAAUAUGCCCAUUUCAUAAAUUACAUGAUAAUAUAAACCGAAAUUACUGAUCCAACCUUAUGUAAUCGUGAAUUUGAUGGGCCAAAAUGUAAGUCUGAAAGAAGGUAAAUCUAAAGAGGAAUUCUUGAAUUCUUUUGUCAUAAUCAAUCUUCUUUUAUGGACAUUCAAAUCAAAUAUUGAUGAAUUUUUGAAUGAAUAUUAAACUGAUAAAACGAAUAUGAA